CCGCCGCCGCCGCCACCUCCGCCUCGCCUCCCUCCCGAGAUCCCGCCGCCGCCGCCGCCACCUCCGCCUCGCCUCCCUCCCUCCCCAUCCCGAGAUCCCGCUCCCUCCGGCAACAAGGAAGCUGACGUCUCGAGCUCCAGUCAGUCCGCCCCCUGGCCCAUCAGAUCCAAUUCCUUCCCCGACCCCCAUCCCGGAUCCGCCGCAAUUCCUUAGCGUCUCGAGCUCGAUUGCUCCCUGUCCGUGGAAUUUGCUCCUUUUUCCCGCAAGAAUCCUGCCUUGGCUGGCGACUUAGAGGUGGGCGCUUGCGAAGGUGGGGCGGCGGCUCUGCUGGCGUCUACUCAGGGUCGUCCGCCGCAUACUCAGGGUCGUCAGGCUCAAUCCGCUGCAGCGCAGCGCCAAGAGCCGUUGAGUUUUUGAUGUGCAGGUAAUUCCUCGUGAACACAUUUAGCUUAGGAAGUUACUAUUGGCUGCUCAUUCAGCUGAGCAGAUCGAGCUAUCCAUUUAGCUCGACACAGUGAAGAGACGCAUUGCGCUUACGCAUUUUGCGUUAGCUCUUGAACAUCCGUUUGGUGUGCUGCGCUGUGAAGGUCACAGAAUCCACUCUUGACAAGUGUGGCACUACAAGACCUGGCUGCAGCCAUGAGGAUCAAGUUUGAAAAGUAUUGGGGUAGAGAUUUUGAUGAGUCAAACCAGCCUAUUCCUCGCAGAAAUAAAAAGGAUUAUGAUGUCAACCUUGGAAUUGUUAUUGCAACAAUGUUAGAUCCGAGGGGAAAAGCAGAAUAUGCAGAGUUCUUCUACCAGAAGAUUUGUAGCAAUAUAGAUCAGAUUGAUUCAAGUGUUGAUGCUGCUCUAGUUUGGAUGAAAAAAUACUUCCUGGAGUAUGAGCAACGCUUGAGGAGAGUUAAUGCAUACUCUGUUACAUAUUCAAGUGAGGGCAGCAUUUGUGUGGGCUCACCGGUGCUUGCGAAAAGGCAGCUAGGAUCAGAAUUUGCAAACUUCAAGUCAAGUCGAAGAAAGACUCGUCCACCAAAAUCUGAAUUUGACAUCUACUUUGAAGAAGAUUGUGUGGAAGACAUUGAAAACUUUGACAUUUUGGCUUGGUGGAAGGCACAUGCUGAGAAGUUCCCGAUCUUAUCAGUUAUGGCACGUGAUUUCCUCGCCAUUCCUCUUAGUACCGUUUCUUCCGAAUCAGCCUUUAGUCUUGGAGGUAGGAUUCUUGGGGAGUCAAGAAGCUCACUAACUCCAGAGAUGUUAGAAGCCCUUGUGUGUGGGAAAGACUGGUUAUUCAAGGAAAAAGAUGCAGACAAUGAAGGUCAACAAAUUAGUGAAGAUCAGACUAGUGAAAUGGUCAUCUUUGCCACUCCAUCAGACUAGUGAAAUGGACUGAAUUCUUGGAUGCUGUUGCAUAGAGCUAUUUUUUGUUGGUGGUAACAGCCAAAAUGGAGGAAGUUCUUGGCUCAUGUGGGACCUGGAGCUCUUGUGGCCAUUGGCUUCCUGGAUCCUAGCAACUGUGCAGGAGCAAAGUGAGAAUGACAUGGACAAGCAAAGUCCAGAAGAACCAGAAACUGGUGGCCAACAAAAGAUAACGCAACUCGCUGAGCUCCUGUGAGGAGAUAAGCAUCAGGGUUGGACGAUGGCAACAACCAGGGUCUGGUCGGCAGUUGGGUCAUCGUCUCGUCUCUCCAGCUAGGGAGCAACCAAGCACAAGCAAGCGUGAACAACCUAUAUAUAUAUAUAUGUAACAUAGAUCUUUGCAACUUGUUUGACUACUAGUAGCUAUCUAAUGGGUUCUUAUUGGGUUGUAACCAUAUUUGGCAAGCAGUUUGUAUAACUUAUGCACUGAAAAGUUUGGGGUGGUAUGGUGUGUGAAGGUGGAAGUUUGAUUUGGGGUGAGUUAAAUUUAUAUAUUUGUGAGAA
RNA transcript from Setaria italica (foxtail millet), 1917 nucleotides. It is a transcript of the gene named zinc finger BED domain-containing protein RICESLEEPER 2-like, with no coding region annotated. The transcript is spliced from 6 exons. The record is from RefSeq and is a predicted model, not a curated record. Lineage: Eukaryota; Viridiplantae; Streptophyta; Magnoliopsida; Poales; Poaceae.